RNAcentral lists this ribosomal RNA (253 nucleotides) under uncultured bacterium. RNAcentral describes it as "partial 16S ribosomal RNA". It matches the Rfam family "Bacterial small subunit ribosomal RNA", at positions 524 to 776 of the family's 1533-position model. The record is from RNAcentral.
UACGUAGGAUGCGAGCGUUGUUCGGAAUCACUGGGCGUAAAGCGUACGUAGGCGGUAAAUUUAGUCUGCUAUUAAAGACCGGGGCUCAACUCCGGGAAUGUAGCAGAAACUGAUUUGCUAGAGGUUAGUAGAGGGAAUCGGAAUUCUCAGUGUAGCGGUGAAAUGCGUAGAUAUUGGGAAGAACACCAGUGGCGAAAGCGGAUUUCUGGGCUAAUACUGACGCUGAGGUACGAAAGCGUGGGGAGCAAACGGG